GUGUCAUACGAGACUGCCGGUAAAAGCCGGAGGAAGGUGAGGAUGAUGUCAAGGUCAGCAUGACCUUUAUAUCCAGGGCCUACACACACGCUACAAUGGUCUGUACAAUGGGUAGCCAAGGCCGCGAGGCGGAGCCAAUCCUGAAAGCAGGCCUCAGUUCAGAUUGCAGUCUGCAACUCGACUGCAUGAAGCCGGAGUUGCUAGUAACCGCAGGUCAGCAAUACUGCGGUGAAUACGUUCCCGGGUCUU
This 249-nucleotide ribosomal RNA is filed under the name uncultured Anaerolineaceae bacterium. Its description in RNAcentral is "partial 16S ribosomal RNA". It matches the Rfam family "Bacterial small subunit ribosomal RNA", at positions 1136 to 1382 of the family's 1533-position model. Lineage: Bacteria; Bacillati; Chloroflexota; Anaerolineae; Anaerolineales; Anaerolineaceae. The record is from RNAcentral.